RNAcentral lists this ribosomal RNA (360 nucleotides) under Paramoeba aestuarina. RNAcentral's name for it is "partial Bacterial small subunit ribosomal RNA". It matches the Rfam family "Bacterial small subunit ribosomal RNA", at positions 1163 to 1521 of the family's 1533-position model. The record is from RNAcentral. Lineage: Eukaryota; Discosea; Flabellinia; Dactylopodida; Paramoebidae.
CCGGAGGAAGGCGGGGAUGACGUCAAGUCCUCAUGGCCCUUACGGGUUGGGCUACACACGUGCUACAAUGGCAUCUACAGUGAGCAGCGAUCCCGCGAGGGCUAGCUAAUCUCCAAAAGAUGUCUCAGUUCGGAUUGUUCUCUGCAACUCGAGAGCAUGAAGGCGGAAUCGCUAGUAAUCGCGGAUCAGCAUGCCGCGGUGAAUACGUUCCCAGGCCUUGUACACACCGCCCGUCACGCCAUGGGAGUUGGUUCUACCCGAAGGUAGUGCGCUAACCCGCAAGGGAGGCAGCUAACCACGGUGGGAUCAGCGACUGGGGUGAAGUCGAAACAAGGUAGCCGUAGGGGAACCUGCGGCUGG